ACAUCCCUCAUGCCCGGCCCGGAGCGAGAUCCCGUCUAAUAAUAGGCCGCGCCACACGGCCGCUGCCACACGGACCGCAGGAGAUAUUCUCUAACGUUCACGCUACUGUUUUUUGGUGUACAUUCCACUCAGCCUGUACAUCACCACCGAACCGCUGCAUCCAUCCAUGCAUUCCGCGGUAUAACUGAAGAAAAGAUCAAGAUAGUUCCACUUUCCCUGCUUGUUGGUCCUUCAGCAGGUGAUGGAGCACGUGACACUGUUGCCGCCCAUACCGCAUCGGUACUGUCGGUUAGGUCCUCAUAUCCAGCGCCUAGGUCAAGGAAGGGACAUGGAGCGUCUGGAUGUGUGCUGCAUCUAGCCGACUGUUGAGGCGCUUUAGAAAA
This is a long non-coding RNA of Schistocerca americana (American grasshopper), 383 nucleotides long. RefSeq lists it as uncharacterized. The record is from RefSeq and is a predicted model, not a curated record. NCBI's taxonomy places the organism in Eukaryota, Metazoa, Arthropoda, Insecta, Orthoptera, Acrididae. The transcript is spliced from 3 exons.